RNAcentral lists this ribosomal RNA (253 nucleotides) under uncultured bacterium. RNAcentral describes it as "partial 16S ribosomal RNA". It matches the Rfam family "Bacterial small subunit ribosomal RNA", at positions 524 to 776 of the family's 1533-position model. The record is from RNAcentral.
UACAGAGGUCCCAAGCGUUGUUCGGAUUCACUGGGCGUAAAGGGUGCGUAGGUGGUCAGGUAAGUCGGAUGUGAAAUCUCCGAGCUCAACUCGGAAACUGCAUUGGAAACUACCUGGCUCGAGGGUUGGAGGGGGGACUGGAAUGCUUGGUGUAGCAGUGAAAUGCGUAGAUAUCAAGCGGAACACCAGUGGCGAAGGCGAGUCCCUGGACAACUCCUGACACUGAUGCACGAAAGCGUGGGGAUCAAACAGG